AAUAUUCCAAUACCAACAUUAGUGUGCGAUGGAAGGACGCUUAGGGCUAAGGGGGCUAGCGGAUGGAAGUGCUAGUCUAAGGUCGUAGGAGGUUAUACAGGCAAAUCCGUAUAACAAUACUCCGAGAACUGAAAGGCUUUUUGAAGUCUUCGGAUGGAUAGAAGAACCCCUGAUGCCGUCGAGCCAAGAAAAGUUUCUAAGUUUAGCUAAUGUUGCCCGUACCGUAAACCGACACAGGUGGGUGGGAUGAGUAUUCUAAGGCGCGUGGAAGAACUCUCUUUAAGGAACUCUGCAAAAUAGCACCGUAUCUUCGGUAUAAGGUGUGGUUCGCUUCGUAUUAGGAUUUACUCCGAAAGCGAAGAAACUUACAACAAAGAGUCCCUCCCGACUGUUUACCAAAAACACAGCACUCUGCUAACUCGUAAGAGGAUGUAUAGGGUGUGACGCCUGCCCGGUGCUCGAAGGUUAAUUGAUGGGGUUAGCAUUAGCGAAGCUCUUGAUCGAAGCCCGAGUAAACGGCGGCCGUAACUAUAACGGUCCUAAGGUAGCGAAAUUCCUUGUCGGUUAAAUACCGACCUGCAUGAAUGGCGUAACGAGAUGGGAGCUGUCUCAAAGAGGGAUCCAGUGAAAUUGUAGUGGAGGUGAAAAUUCCUCCUACCCGCGGCAAGACGGAGAGACCCCGUGGACCUUUACUACAGCUUGACACUGCUAUUUGGAUAAGAAUGUGCAGGAUAGGUGGGAGGCUUUGAGUAUAUGACGCCAGUUGUAUAUGAGCCAUUGUUGAGAUACCACUCUUUCUUAUUUGGGUAGCUAACCAGCUUGAGUUAUCCUCAAGUGGGACAAUGUCUGGUGGGUAGUUUGACUGGGGCGGUCGCCUCCCAAAUAAUAACGGAGGCUUACAAAGGUUGGCUCAGAACGGUUGGAAAUCGUUCGUAGAGUAUAAAGGUAUAAGCCAGCUUAACUGCAAGACAUACAAGUCAAGCAGAGACGAAAGUCGGUCUUAGUGAUCCGGUGGUUCUGUGUGGAAGGGCCAUCGCUCAAAGGAUAAAAGGUACCCCGGGGAUAACAGGCUGAUCUCCCCCAAGAGCUCACAUCGACGGGGAGGUUUGGCACCUCGAUGUCGGCUCAUCGCAUCCUGGGGCUGGAGCAGGUCCCAAGGGUAUGGCUGUUCGCCAUUUAAAGCGGUACGCGAGCUGGGUUCAGAACGUCGUGAGACAGUUCGGUCCCUAUCUGCCGUGGGCGUAAGAAGAUUGAAGAGAUUUGACCCUAGUACGAGAGGACCGGGUUGAACAAACCACUGGUGUAGCUGUUGUUCUGCCAAGAGCAUCGCAGCGUAGCUAAGUUUGGAAAGGAUAAACGCUGAAAGCAUCUAAGCGUGAAGCCAACUCUAAGAUGAAUCUUCUCUAAGCUCUCUAGAAGACUACUAGUUUGAUAGGCUGGGUGUGUAAUGGAUGAAAGUCCUUUAGCUGACCAGUACUAAUAGAGCGUUUGGCUUAUCUUUAAUAAAGCAU
This 1511-nucleotide ribosomal RNA is filed under the name Campylobacter coli. RNAcentral's name for it is "partial 23S ribosomal RNA". It matches the Rfam family "Bacterial large subunit ribosomal RNA", at positions 1432 to 2925 of the family's 2925-position model. Lineage: Bacteria; Pseudomonadati; Campylobacterota; Epsilonproteobacteria; Campylobacterales; Campylobacteraceae. The record is from RNAcentral.